This 207-nucleotide ribosomal RNA is filed under the name uncultured bacterium. RNAcentral's name for it is "partial 16S ribosomal RNA". It matches the Rfam family "Bacterial small subunit ribosomal RNA", at positions 568 to 774 of the family's 1533-position model. The record is from RNAcentral.
CGCGUAGGCGGCUUUUCAAGUCAGAUGUGAAAGUCCGCGGCUCAACCGUGGAAGUGCAUUUGAAACUGUAAGGCUUGAGUACUGGAGGGGGUAGUGGAAUUCCCGGUGUAGAGGUGAAAUUCGUAGAUAUCGGGAGGAAUACCGGUGGCGAAGGCGACUGCCUGGCCAGAUACUGACGCUGAGGUGCGAAAGCGUGGGGAGCAAACA